RNAcentral lists this ribosomal RNA (218 nucleotides) under uncultured bacterium. Its description in RNAcentral is "partial 16S ribosomal RNA". It matches the Rfam family "Bacterial small subunit ribosomal RNA", at positions 126 to 334 of the family's 1533-position model. The record is from RNAcentral.
CUACCCUCGGGUGGGGAAUAACUCUUCGAAAGGAGAGCUAAUGCCGACAUGUGCAGCACUUUCGCGAGUAGGUGCUGGAAAGCCGUACCGUGGGUGCGGCGCCCAAGGAUGAGCUCAUGUCCUAUCAGCUUGUUGGCGGGGUAACGGCCCACCAAGGCUACGACGGGUAGCUGGUCUGAGAGGACGACCAGCCACACUGGCACUGCGACACGGGCCAG